UUAGUGGCGGACGGGUGAGUAACGCGUGGGUAACCUGCCCUGUACAGGGGGACAACAGCCGGAAACGGCUGCUAAUACCGCAUAAGCCUGCGGGGCCGCAUGGCCCGGCAGGAAAAGCUGCGGCGGUACAGGAUGGGCCCGCGUCUGAUUAGCCAGUUGGCGGGGUAACGGCCCACCAAAGCAACGAUCAGUAGCCGGCUUGAGAGAGCGAACGGCCACAUUGGGACUGAGACACGGCCCAAACUCCUACGGAAGGCAGCAG
RNAcentral lists this ribosomal RNA (262 nucleotides) under uncultured bacterium. Its description in RNAcentral is "partial 16S ribosomal RNA". It matches the Rfam family "Bacterial small subunit ribosomal RNA", at positions 92 to 354 of the family's 1533-position model. The record is from RNAcentral.